GAAGUGGAUUUAACAGGUGACAUCAAUAAGGUCUCAUAGCUUCCACCUGGAUUCACCUGAUCAAGAGUUCCUAAUGUUUUGUACACUCAGUGUAUAUUUGGCCUCACUAAAAAGUGAAUUUGUCUCCCAGUGUCUGUUGCAAAGCAGAUUGAACCAGGUUUUCCUUUAGGAUCUUGCCUGUGCUUAGCUCUAUUCCAUUUAUUUUUUGUCUUAAAAAAACUCCCUAGUCCUUGCCGAUGACAAGCAUACCCAUAACAUGAUGCAGCCACCACCGUGCUUGAAAAUAUGAAGAGUGGUACUCAGUAAUGUGUUGUGUUGGAUUUGCCCCAAACAUAACGCUUUGUAUUAAUUUCUUUGCGAAUUUUCUUUUCUGUUUUACUUUAGUGCUUUAUUGCAAACAGGACGCAUGUUUUGGAAUAUUUUUAUUCUGUACAGGCUUUCUUCUUUUCACUCUGUCAUUUAGGUUAGUAUUGUGGAGUAACUUCAAUGUUGUUGAUCCAUCCUCAGUUUUCUCCCAUCACAGCCAUUAAACUCUGUAACUGUUUUAAAGUGAACAUUGGCCUCAUGGUGAAAUCCCUGAGCGGUUUCCUUCCUCUCCGGCAACUGAGUUAGGAAGGACGCCUGUGUCUUUGUAGUGACUCGGUGUAUUGAUACACCAUCCAAAGUGUAAUUACUAACUUCACCAUGCUCAAAGGGAUAUUCAAUGUGUGCUUUUUUAUUUUUACCCAUCUACCAAUAGGUGCCCUUCUUUGCGAGGCAUUGGGAAACCUCCCUGGUCUUUGUGGAUGAAUCUGUGUUUGAAAUUCACUAUUCGAUUGAGGGACCUUAUGUGUGGGGUACAGAAAUGAGGUAGUCAUUAAAAAAUCACAACAUUUCAAUGUAAUCCAUGUUAAAUUCAGGCUGUAACAACAACAUCUCAAUGUAAUCCAUGUUAAAUUCAGGCUGUAACAACAUCUCAAUGUAAUCCAUGUUAAAUUCAGGCUGUAACAACAACAUCUCAAUGUAAUCCAUGUUAAAUUCAGGCUGUAACCACAUCUCAAUGUAAUCCAUGUUAAAUUCAGGCUUUAACAACAUCUCAAUGUAAUCCAUGUUAAAUUCAGACUGUAACAACAUCUCAAUGUAAUCCAUGUUAAAUUCAGACUGUAACAUCUCAAUGUAAUCCAUGUUAAAUUCAGACUGUAACAUCUCAAUGUAAUCCAUGUUAAAUUCAGACUGUAACAGUAGUAGUAUGUAACAUCAUGUAUGUAACAGUAGUAGUAUGUAACAUCACAUCCUGUUUGUAACAGUAGUAGUAUGUAACAUCACAUCCUGUAUGUAACAGUAGUAGUAUGUAACAUCACAUCCUGUAUGUAACAGUAGUAGUAUGUAACAUCCUGUUUGUAACAGUAGUAGUAUGUAACAUCCUGUAUGUAACAGUAGUAGUAUGUAACAUCACAUCCUGUAUGUAACAGUAGUAGUAUGUAACAUCACAUCCUGUAUGUAACAGUAGUAGUAUGUAACAUCAUGUAUGUAACAGUAGUAGUAUGUAACAUCCUGUUUGUAACAGUAGUAGUAUGUAACAUCCUGUAUGUAACAGUAGUAGUAUGUAACAUCCUGUUUGUAACAGUAGUAGUAUGUAACAUCACAUCCUGUAUGUAACAGUAGUAGUAUGUAACAUCACAUCCUGUAUGUAACAGUAGUAGUAUGUAACAUCCUGUUUGUAACAGUAGUAGUAUGUAACAUCACAUCCUGCAUGUAACAGUAGUAGUAUGUAACAUUUGAUUUCCCCUGUAUUUAACAGUAAAGGUUUUUGAACACACAACGUGUGUGUUAUUUUUCCUUCUCAGAAGACUGCCUCCCUGUCACGUCCUGACCAGUAUAAGGGGUCAUUUCGUUAUUGUAGUUUGGUCGGGACGUGGCAGCGGUGUGUUUGUUUAGUGUGUUUCGGGGUUUUUUUUGUUCUAUGUUUUCUAUUUCUAUGUGGGUUUUCUAGUUUUUCUAUUUCUAUGUUAGUUUUGGGAACGACCUCCAAUUAGAAGCAGCUGGUUGUUGUUGCUUCUAAUUGGAGGCCAUAUUUAAGUGGGUUAAUUUUCUCUUGUGUUUGUGGGUGGUUGUCUCCGUGUGUAGUUAGUGCACCUUACAGGACUGUUCUCGUCGUUCUUUUGUUCAGUGUUUAUUUUCUUUAAAUAAAUCAAGAAGAUGUUUCAUCUA
Molecule: long non-coding RNA, 2190 nt
Filed under: Salmo salar (Atlantic salmon)
Lineage: Eukaryota; Metazoa; Chordata; Actinopteri; Salmoniformes; Salmonidae
Description: lncRNA (ENSSSAG00000122100.1)
Source: RNAcentral